CUUCAACGACCCCAACCACAACGGACGCCCCUCAGACCGACCCUGGCCAUAGGUGUCCAAGAGCGCUUGCGCCUC
RNAcentral lists this antisense RNA (75 nucleotides) under Streptomyces melanosporofaciens. RNAcentral describes it as "ASpks TB sRNA". It matches the Rfam family "ASpks TB sRNA". The record is from RNAcentral. Lineage: Bacteria; Bacillati; Actinomycetota; Actinomycetes; Kitasatosporales; Streptomycetaceae.